Pseudophryne corroboree (corroboree frog) is the source of this 439-nucleotide long non-coding RNA. RefSeq lists it as uncharacterized. The transcript is spliced from 3 exons. Lineage: Eukaryota; Metazoa; Chordata; Amphibia; Anura; Myobatrachidae. The record is from RefSeq and is a predicted model, not a curated record.
UUGUUCUGUCAUUUUGACGGGCUGGUAACUAGUUUAAAAAUAAAUAAAUCGGUAGUGGGGACAGCUAUGUGUAUCUUUAUGUUAACUUUAUUCUAGAAUGAACGGAUGUAGUGACCAGAAUAAAAUUGUGCCCUAAUCAUUAUACAGCAUCUUGAAAGCCCUCAGCACAAAAACGUUGUGGAGGGCCAAGAUUACAAGGCCCUGGAUGACCUUAUUGCCACCCUGUGCACGGACUGGGAGGAGCACUGAAGAUCAAAACACUUUCACCCAGUUCCUGUGUGUGCUGGACUGCUUGGGAGCCAUUAUCCGAUAUGCUGUGCUGUCACCUGCUGCGACUCCCGCAUCUCCAGCCGGAUAUGAAACACCUGAUCCUUAUGCACCACCAAAAAGCUCUGUGAGCAUAUCACUAUCACCAUCUAUCUUUAAAAAAAAAAAAAAA